Molecule: ribosomal RNA, 523 nt
Filed under: uncultured microorganism
Description: bacterial SSU rRNA
Rfam family: Bacterial small subunit ribosomal RNA
Source: RNAcentral
GAGUUUGAUCAUGGCUCAGGACGAACGCUGGCGGCGUGCCUAAUACAUGCAAGUCGAGCGAGGGUUUUCGGACCCUAGCGGCGGACGGGUGAGUAACACGUAGGCAACCUGCCUCUCAGACCGGGAUAACAUAGGGAAACUUAUGCUAAUACCGGAUAGGUUUUUGGAUUGCAUGAUCCGAAAAGAAAAGAUGGCUUUUGGCUAUCACUGGGAGAUGGGCCUGCGGCGCAUUAGCUAGUUGGUGGGGUAACGGCCUACCAAGGCGACGAUGCGUAGCCGACCUGAGAGGGUGACCGGCCACACUGGGACUGAGACAGGCCCAGACUCCUACGGGAGGCAGCAGUAGGGAAUUUUCCACAAUGGACGAAAGUCUGAUGGAGCAACGCCGCGUGAACGAUGAAGGUCUUCGGAUUGUAAAGUUCUGUUGUCAGGGACGAACACGUACCGUUCGAAUAGGGCGGUACCUUGACGGUACCUGACGAGAAAGCCACGGCUAACUACGUGCCAGCAGCCGCGCCGUAAG